GACGAACGCUGGCGGCGUGCUUAACACAUGCAAGUCGAACGGAAAGGCCCUGCUUUUGUGGGGUGCUCGAGUGGCGAACGGGUGAGUAACACGUGAGUAGCCUGCCCUUGACUUUGGGAUAACUUCAGGAAACUGGGGCUAAUACCGGAUAGGAGCUCCUGCUGCAUGGUGGGGGCUGGAAAGUUUCGGCGGUUGGGGAUGGACUCGCGGCUUAUCAGCUUGUUGGUGGGGUAGUGGCUUACCAAGGCUUUGACGGGUAGCCGGCCUGAGAGGGUGACCGGCCACAUUGGGACUGAGAUACGGCCCAGACUCCUACGGGAGGCAGCAGUGGGGAAUAUUGCACAAUGGGCGGAAGCCUGAUGCAGCAACGCCGCGUGCGGGAUGACGGCCUUCGGGUUGUAAACCGCUUUCGCCUGUGACGAAGCGUGAGUGACGGUAAUGGGUAAAGAAGCACCGGCUAACUACGUG
Molecule: ribosomal RNA, 468 nt
Filed under: uncultured bacterium
Lineage: Bacteria
Description: partial 16S ribosomal RNA
Rfam family: Bacterial small subunit ribosomal RNA
Source: RNAcentral